RNAcentral lists this ribosomal RNA (879 nucleotides) under Salmonella enterica subsp. enterica serovar Oslo. RNAcentral describes it as "partial 23S ribosomal RNA". It matches the Rfam family "Bacterial large subunit ribosomal RNA", at positions 308 to 1191 of the family's 2925-position model. The record is from RNAcentral. Lineage: Bacteria; Pseudomonadati; Pseudomonadota; Gammaproteobacteria; Enterobacterales; Enterobacteriaceae.
GCCUGAAUCAGCAUGUGUGUUAGUGGAAGCGUCUGGAAAGGCGCGCGAUACAGGGUGACAGCCCCGUACACAAAAGUGCAUGUGCUGUGAGCUCGAUGAGUAGGGCGGGACACGUGGUAUCCUGUCUGAAUAUGGGGGGACCAUCCUCCAAGGCUAAAUACUCCUGACUGACCGAUAGUGAACCAGUACCGUGAGGGAAAGGCGAAAAGAACCCCGGCGAGGGGAGUGAAAAAGAACCUGAAACCGUGUACGUACAAGCAGUGGGAGCACAGGUUUACCUGUGUGACUGCGUACCUUUUGUAUAAUGGGUCAGCGACUUAUAUUCUGUAGCAAGGUUAACCGUAUAGGGGAGCCGUAGGGAAACCGAGUCUUAACCGGGCGUUAAGUUGCAGGGUAUAGACCCGAAACCCGGUGAUCUAGCCAUGGGCAGGUUGAAGGUUGGGUAACACUAACUGGAGGACCGAACCGACUAAUGUUGAAAAAUUAGCGGAUGACCUGUGGCUGGGGGUGAAAGGCCAAUCAAACCGGGAGAUAGCUGGUUCUCCCCGAAAGCUAUUUAGGUAGCGCCUCGUGAACUCAUCUCCGGGGGUAGAGCACUGUUUCGGCUAGGGGGCCAUCCCGGCUUACCAACCCGAUGCAAACUGCGAAUACCGGAGAAUGUUAUCACGGGAGACACACGGCGGGUGCUAACGUCCGUCGUGAAGAGGGAAACAACCCAGACCGCCAGCUAAGGUCCCAAAGUCAUGGUUAAGUGGGAAACGAUGUGGGAAGGCCCAGACAGCCAGGAUGUUGGCUUAGAAGCAGCCAUCAUUUAAAGAAAGCGUAAUAGCUCACUGGUCGAGUCGGCCUGCGCGGAAGAUGUAACGGGGCUAAACCAUG